UGAAUUUACGGGAACCUAAUCGGAUGUCGUUGUUCCUUCAGCUCCGAGCGCGUAGCAGAAGGGCCGGCCAUGGAUGGUCCUCAGGUUGCACUCCGCCUCCGACACGAGGGUCGGGGCGAAUUCAAGCAGCCCGCCCCAAGAGCAGGUCGGCCUCAUCUCGUAGCCGGUCAUCAUGCUGUCCAGUGCCGUCCUCAGCGCGCUGCACCGGCAGUAGGGAACGAUCUUCUCCAGCUCCGAGCAGCACCUCUCCUUCAGCACCGGCAAGGGG
Molecule: long non-coding RNA, 268 nt
Filed under: Sorghum bicolor (sorghum)
Lineage: Eukaryota; Viridiplantae; Streptophyta; Magnoliopsida; Poales; Poaceae
Description: long non-coding RNA (SBIC_LNC002043)
Source: RNAcentral